RNAcentral lists this long non-coding RNA (327 nucleotides) under Mytilus galloprovincialis (Mediterranean mussel). The record is from RNAcentral. Lineage: Eukaryota; Metazoa; Mollusca; Bivalvia; Mytilida; Mytilidae.
GUGGUAUUAAUAUCGGUUCUACGUCUGCUAUAUCAUUCUGAGUAUUCUUCUUUUAGUUUUAGUUUUGUUUUGUUUUGUCCUAGCGUUAUUGGGGUUUUUUUCUACUCCUUUGCUGUUUGAGUUGUGUUUGCCUUAUCUGUUGGAUCAGCUAUUAAAUGAAACUCUAUCGAAGGUUUUAUUUCGCCUUCUAUAAAGCUACUUUUUCUCUGUAAUGUGUGUUAUCUUUGCUUAAUUAAAAUUUGUAAUUUCAUAACGCAUGAAAAGCAAUAAGUGAACAUCCUACUUGAAUUGAUGUCGAUGAAAACACCAAAAGAUAACUGUGUCGUG